AGAGCGAACGCUGGCGGCGUGCUUAACACAUGCAAGUCGAACGAGGUUUGUAGCAAUACAAAUACUCGUGGCGAACGGGUGCGUAACACGUGGAUAACCUUCCUUCAGGUGGGGAAUAACCCAGUGAAAAUUGGGCUAAUACCGCAUAACAUGACGAGGGCACAUGCUUUUGUCUUCAAAGGCGCAAGUCGCCAGAAGAGGGAUCCGCGGCCGAUUAGCUUGUUGGCGAGGUAAUGGCUCACCAAGGCUUUGAUCGGUAGCCGGACUGAGAGGUUGACCGGCCACACUGGAACUGAGACACGGUCCAGACUCCUACGGGAGGCAGCAGUGGGGAAUCUUGCACAAUGGACGAAAGUCUGAUGCAGCAACGCCGCGUGGGGGAUGAAGCUUCUCGGAGUGUAAACCCCUUUCGACCCGGAAGAAAGCCCGCAAGGGUUUGACGGUACGGGUAUAAGAAGCCCCGGCUAACUACGCGCCAGCAGCCGCGGUAA
This 491-nucleotide ribosomal RNA is filed under the name uncultured bacterium. RNAcentral describes it as "SSU rRNA". It matches the Rfam family "Bacterial small subunit ribosomal RNA", at positions 26 to 523 of the family's 1533-position model. The record is from RNAcentral.